RNAcentral lists this ribosomal RNA (95 nucleotides) under Actinomyces israelii. RNAcentral describes it as "16S rRNA". Lineage: Bacteria; Bacillati; Actinomycetota; Actinomycetes; Actinomycetales; Actinomycetaceae. The record is from RNAcentral.
GCCGGCUGCUUCGGAGACGGGGGGUCCUCCCUUUGUGGGGGCUGGUUCACAGGUGGUGCAUGGUUGUCGUCAGCUCGUGUCGUGAGAUGUUGGGU